RNAcentral lists this long non-coding RNA (38759 nucleotides) under Homo sapiens (human). Its description in RNAcentral is "HSALNT0307986". Lineage: Eukaryota; Metazoa; Chordata; Mammalia; Primates; Hominidae. The record is from RNAcentral.
GAGAUAGGAUCUCCCUUUGUUGCCCAGGCUGGCUUCAAGUGAUCCUCUCACCUUGGCUUCCCAAAAUGCGGGAUUACAGGUGUGAGCCAUCAUGCCUGGCCAGUAUUUAUAUUUAUAAACUAAAUCCAGAUAAACAACUUCUUUGUGUCUCUACUGAGUUUGAAACUGGGGGGGUAUGGCUAAUGAUUUCACUUUGCACGGCUCCAUGGGAGAGCAGAUCUAUAGAAAAUAGUGAAUGCCUGGCAAAACAAGGAUUGAUGAUAUUUAUGAGAAGACCUGAAGGACUUAGGAAAAGAUGAACUCUGAGAAGCAACUAUGCAAUCUAAUAUACAUAAGGCUUCAUCCAUUCAUUUGUCUGAUAAAUACUUAUUGAGCAACUAUUCUGUGUUCAGGAGAAAGAGUGGUAAUAUGGAGGAACUUGUACCUUUAAGGAGCUUAUAAUGCACAAAGUACAAUUUCAAAUUCUAGAACAGUUCAGUAAUGUGUUAUAUAGUACUUGAGUGUGUAAGGUGCACAUAUUUUUGUUUUUUUUUAGUGUGUGAGUAUGUGUGUAUGUGUGUAUGCAUGCACAGGAGGAGCAGAGAAAAGUUUUGUUGCUGAUUACCCAUUCAAGAAGAAUGUCUACCAAUUUUCUAUAAACAUCUACAAUUUAGUUUCUACAUAUUAACUUUAUACAUUAACUAUUCUUGCGAGUAAAAAUGUUACCUGCAAGAUGGCUCCUGCAUAUUGAUAGAAUGCUCACACUUCCCAUGCAUGCAGAAGCCAUUGUAAUGUUCCGGACAAGGUAUGUGGUGUUCUCUGGCACUUUCUUCUAAUUUGUUAGCAUUCUCUGUGAAUACAGAUAAAAGUAAGCACCCCCUGUAAAUACUUAGCCUGGUAAGAUCAACCAGUACAUUAAGAAGCAAAGCUAUGGUAGGCAAAGAUAUUUAAAAGGGCAAGAACUAAAGGGCUAUGCUUCAGAAAUAAGAGGAAGAAAGAACUGAAAGACGUCUUUACAAUUGUGUUUAGAGAUGAAAUUUGCAAAAUUACCCAGUGCUUUUUAUGCUUUCAUGCAAUUUCCUACAUCUUUAACAGCUAGUGGUGUUUCUAGGACUUGUCAGACAGCUUUAAUUUUCCUCACAUAGGGACCGUACAUUGAUCAUGAAAUACUCCAAGAAGAAAUAUCCUAUUUUUUAAAUUUCAAAGCCCAGCAUAAUGUCCUUAAGAGUAAAUUGCUGUAAUACCUUGAUACUUUCGCAAUACGAAAGCUUAAAAGUUAAAAUAUGGCCGUGUUCAAUUGUUAAACACACAUUUUCCAAACCGAAUGCAAAUUUCAACAAAUGUAUUCUUUCAGGCUUUUAAAAUCUACUGCAAACAUGAUUUUCACUAGCAUCCACACAUUUUUUUGUUGCCACAAUAAACCUAUUAAAUAAGAAAACGUUAUUUCAAAAUCACUUAUGUAGAUAUUCACAUAGUAUACACUGAAUACUGUAAGUGUAUUUAAAUGCAUAUUUGGCCUGUAUUAACAAUGCUAUGUGAAACCUAAACUUACGAUAACGAAUAAACGUGGAUUCUAAAGUGAACACUUUUGCCUGCCAUUACAACAUGUUCUACUUGUUUUGCCAUGUUUUCAUAGAUAUUUGAAAUUUUUUGACCUUUGUUAGUCCAAAAACGUUUGCUUCAUAUUUGUAAUGCCAUAUUUAAGUGUCUUUUGAGUCUUAAUAUGUUCAUUUUAUGAUAAAACUUUUGAGUUUUCCCUAAAUCUGAAAUAUGAUAUUCUUGAAAAUUUCUGCCCAAACACAUGAGAAAUAUAGCUUUUAUGAACUCAAUCUGAAGACACUCUUCAAUCUGAAGGUACUCUUCAACACCCUAGUAAUUAGUCAGCAGUAAUGGAAAAUGGCAAAUGAAUUCCUAUUUUUAUGAAAUGGUUUAUUUCCAUAUAAGGGUAUAGGUUUUAUUAUUAGCAGUCACGGAUGAUAAGCAUAUUCAUUGGAAGAAAAAAACAUGCCUCUGGUAUUAGCGAAUCAGACAAAUCUAUUAUUUAUGAUUAAACAGAGCUGCAAAAUAUCUAUACAUCUUUAAGAUCCAGAUGCCAUCUGCAAAACAAAGUCUGAAAAAAGUUGUAAAAGAUGUAUAGUGCUUUCUUGUGUAGAGAUAUUUAUAUGCAUCAUUAUGAUGGGCAAUAUUUUAUGUUACACACCCAAAUUUGUAAGGGAUUUACCAUCAAGAUACUAGAGAGCCUGUAGAUGACAUUUAAAUCAUUAGUUUGUUUCUUAUCUGUGUCUCUUUAGCUAGGAUGGUUGGUGAUUUUUUUGUUUGAAUUACAGUAUUUGCACAUCGAUAGCAGCUAUUUAACUGAACAUACCACUUCCAUGGAGAAAACUAAGAAUGUAUAGAACUUUUUUGGUUUCUUCCCUCUUCUUUGAAGUUACUUUGGAAUUUUGUGGUAUAAUGUUUUUGGUAGCAAGUGCAGCUGCAGUAAGCAAAUACACCAAAAUUAAAGUGGGUAGUGUUGGGUGAAAUUUCCCACAUGGGAACGUGUGACCAAAAUGGAAGCGGGGCAGUUCAUGAACCCAUGGAGGAGGCUGUGUUCAUUCUGUGCCAGGGCCGGGGGCUACACACUAUAGCGAUCAAACCAUGCACCUGCUGUUUAAAGGAGACUUUAGCAGUGGGGUUUGCCAGUCACACUGCUGGUGUAAUGAACCAGCUCUGAUUUUCACUUUUAUUUCUGGACCUUCUUCCCAUAACAAACUAUUCGACACUUCUAUGGUUCAUUAAUAACCCCUCAGUGCUUCUGAACACCUGCAUGCAGGGAAAUUUUCUGUGACUUCCCUAAAUUUCAGUUAUACACUGUCUUUUCAGAUAUAGUAUUUUCCAAACACAUCUUAUUAGGACUAUUUUUCUUUCUGUCAGUUACAAAAGAAUGUCAAGAAUUUUUUAAAGUGAAAAUCCGGUUUUUAGUCUAUUUUAUUUUUAACACUGUACCUCACCCCAUACUGACAGUUUGUUUCUGGAUUCGUGCCAUAUUCACAAUUAUGAACUGAAGUAUAAGGGAAAAAUAAGAGCUUGUCUGAAUGAGGCUGCUGCCUUAGUGUGGUAAGAGAUGGAUAUUUUCACAAAGUUCAUUAUCCAGCCAGGGUGAUCACAUGGGUAGGGAAUAGUUUCCAUUGUAAAAUCUGCUAAUUAGUUUACACUAUUCCUUAUGAGCUUGGAGUGCUCUGUUAUGCUGCUCAUAGGAUACUGUCAAAUAAGAAAGCAGAGAGAUUGAAAAUAAAUUAGUAGAAGAAAUGAUCUCUGGGCAAGAAAAUGAGGAAUCAUCAAUAUAUGUCAACAAAUUUAUAGUCAAUCCAACCAAGUAAAUCAGUUGAUUGAAAACCUGAAUAUAUAACCACUGCUAGUAAUGCAAUAGACAUAUUUUAGAAACAAGAUUUUAGUAUAUUAAGAGUAGAAACACAGAAAUCUAAUAUCCAAACAAACAUGUAUAUGAACCAUAGUGUUUGUGAUCUUAAUGUUUAUGUAUAGUAGGUAUUAAGCAAUAACAAAGCAUUAAAACAUUUUAAAUUAUAUAAAAAUUAUAUAUUUCUGGAAGUCUGCAUGUUUCCUUCAGUAGCUUAUGAUUUAGACAUUGAUUUCUCUGUCCUCCAUUUAAAAAGAGGUUUAAUGUAAGGGUUGUGCUCUUUCUUCUAAAAUAGAUAAAAGGCUAUGGUAGAAACUCUUCAUGUCUGUGUUUAAAAUCCUCAACUAGUUUCCUGUUUAAAUGUUUACAAAUGGUUUGUUCUAGAGAGUUCCUGACCCUUUGAAAAAACAAUUCUGAUACAAUCUGAGUUAUCUGCAGCAGAGCUAAUAGGGCUCCAUGCCCAUUGCUAGUCAACACUUCAGUCAAGAGCUAUUGAAGUGGGCUGUUCUAUAGUACAGCUACUCAUAUUGUUUCUACCCUGGUGCUUGCAGGGAAAGAAACAGGGAAAGCUAAAGAGACAGAGAAUGGCAAAUGGUGAGGCCUUACCUUACUGCAAGUCAAGUAAGGUUAAGUGGGUAGAAAGGGGGCAAAGCCAGAUUUAGCAGUUCAGACUUAAAUCAAUACAGUCCAGUAUGUACAUGUGUGUGUAUGUGUUUACCAUUGCCCCUGUAUUCCUUUCCCUAAAAAGUUGAAAAUAAGAUGUUGUUUAGAUAAUUAAUCUAUCAAAGGAACACAUUAUGGAUCAAAGCAGAAAUAUUACAGUGUAAAAUUUGACUAAAUCUAUCCAUAUUUCUAAAAAAGAGAAUGUUUUCCUUUGGACAAAGAUUAAAGGUUGGCCAAAGAAGUCCUGAAAGUUAAGUUGUAUUAUCUAUCCAAGUGCUCUCCAAGCUGGUGUGUCUUUGUUUUUUAGUUUGAGAGUCUUACUCUAUUACCCAGGAUGGAAUGCAGUGGCGUGAUUUUGGCUCACUACCACCUCCACCUCCUGGGCUCAAGUGAUUCUCGUGUCUCUGCCUCCCUCUUAGGUGGGACUAUAGGCAUGUGGGACUAGCUAACUUUUUGUAUUUUUUAGCAGAGAUGGGGGUUUUCCAUGUUGGCCAGGCUGGUCUUGAACUCCUGGCCUCAAGUGAUCCACCUGCCUCAGCCUCCCAAAGUGCUGGGAUUACAGUCGUGAGUCACUACACCCAGCCCAAGUUGGUGUGUCUUAAAAAACCAGCCUGAACUAGCCAACCCAGAGUCCCAGGUGCAGAGAUAGAUGCACCAGGUUAUUAGUUUCUGAUGCUAUUAAAUAUUUAUUCAGUUAACCCAUUUCUCUUGUUCUGAUGCUCUGUUGUCUAGUCAUUCUUAAAAUAAUUCGACUUCUAUGUAGCCUUCACAUUGGAAUGGCUUUGACAAAACAACAUGAAUAUCUUACCCAUUUAACAGUUAACAUAUUUCAUUUCAGAGAAUUGACUAGUUCUGAAUUUCUGUUUAUUUUUUGAGGGGGUCACAUGUCAUCUUCAUCCCACUCAAUUCUGAAGUUUUUUAAGGUCAAACUUGUGCUGUAUAGACCAGAGAACUAGACCCUACCCGUUGUUCACUACAGUCUGCGAGGCCUUUGGGGGCUGGUCAAAUGAUAUUUCUCUGGUAAUGCCCCACUUUAAUCAGGACUUUAUUGCAAAUGUAUACAAAUUCUUAGGCCAUUGAUUCAUACAGAAGAGUCUGAUUCUGUGUAAGCGUUUCUGAGAAAAUUGAAAAGAUCCUAAACUAGAGGAAACAUCAGGAAUUUAGUGGAUGUUUUAGGUGGGCAGAUCUCCACUGCAUAUUUUUAAACAACUAGAGCUGUUCAGUAGGAGAAUGAGUGAGUUCCAUUGUAAAAUAGUGGGCUUCUGGUGGUAUUGAAAGGAGCUGUGUGGCCAUUUCUCAGGGAUGUUGUAGACUGUUAAUGUAUAUCGGUUAGAUUACUUCAGAGCUCUAAGUUCAUUGAAUUCUGAAAGUAACAUUUAUUUCUAUUGCUAAUAUUUACUUAUGAUUAAUCAUGAAUAUUUACUAACAUUUACUAGAGAAUAUUAUUUUUGAUACGCUAGGAGAAAGACGUAGAGAAAUAGAGAUAUUAUUUAUAUAUAUUAAACAAAAUAAAUUACUUUUGCCUUAAUUAUGGGACAUGCUACCUUUUGAAAGGGUAUAAAAUAUCUUAAAUUUUGACUGUGUCUAUAAUUCAGACAUUCUAGCAGAGAGGACCUUUACUAUGUAAUGUAUUGCCUUUCUUUUGUUUAGUGGACCUAAGUUCAAUUUUUAAAAUCAUGCUUUAACAUCCCAUAUGAUCUUGACACGCACAUGCGAGUAUUACAGUUUGGUUUAUUAUCUUUUCAACUAUCUUUUGCUGUUGGUCCACAAAAUGUGUCAUACUUCUAUAGAAAAACAAAAAUUUUCAGUUUUGAAUGUGUUUAUGUAAUCUUGCUAUUUUUUACAUGUAAUGACAGUAGAGGGAAACUCCAGUAUUGAAAUAUUCAUAUUCUUACACACCUUUUGUAAUUACUUAAUUUUACCCUCCCCGACUUACUGCCAUUUCUCCAAAGCAAAAUGAAACUACUUUUAUUUAACUAGAAAAGGAAAAAACUGUUCUGUUCUCCUUAUAUUUACAUUGUGCCUGGGACAGAAAUAAAUUAUAAAUACAGAAAUAAAGUCAUGAUUGUUCCCAUUGUUGGUUAGAGUUGGUUUCAAAGAAGAUAUACAGUUCUUAUGAUUUCCUCUCCUUAUCUUAUCAGGUAUAAACAUAUGAGGCAGUAAAACCUCAUAUCUAGCUUGAGUUGCAAUCCAAGUUUUUUAAAGACUAGAAAAGCAUUCCUAUUGAAUGGGUUCUGAAUGUAAUGAAGUCUGAGUUCCUGCAACUUAACAGAUUCCACAAUAACCUCACCUGCUGUCAUAGCUUCUGCAAGGCAUAUACGAGUAGAUGAGAAGAGUCUCUCCUUUUUAAAGCUUCUGGGACACAGACUCAAAUAAAAAUGCUAGUUAAAAGUGACAGCCUAGCAUGAGGGACACAGAGAAUUUAAGGAUACAAUCAAUUCUCAAGUUUUGUAAAGAGCAGAGACCCAGUCAUAACAUUCUUGUUAUUUAAUCUCUGUUAAAGACUUAGAAAAUAACACUUCAAAACAGAGACCAAGUCCUUCAACAUUCUUGCUACAAAUUUAACAUUUCUUCUGCAAGUUGAACAUUAUUCUAUUUUUUUCAGAAAAAUAAUUGAAACUACUUGGAUCAGAAACUUUGCUAGUGAGGCAGUGGUAUGGGUUGGGAACAGGAUGGAUGCAAACAAACAGAAAUUCCUCUUCAUUCCACCAUUGAUAGGCACUAAUAUAAAAUGUGAAAUGUGAUUAUCCUUAUCGUUGCUUGCAUAUGCUAUAAAUAUUCUUAUUGAACAUAAAAUUAAAAUAAAGUGUAAGAAAACUAAUUUCCAUGUUACUGGAUUAUCAGGCAAGGCCUUGAUGACAUGAUUCAGGGAUUGCUAGAAUUUAAAUUGGAAAAAGUACCAGCAUCUGAAAUAUACAUAGUAAUUUGGGGACUGGAGUAAUUGAAAUGCAACAAUAGUGGAUGAUUAUUUGCAUGGGCUUUUAUUAACUCAGUUUCUAUUUGUAAUAUAUUUACAUAGAUAAAUACUGAAAAAUCUGUAAAAUCUUGGGAGAAAAACUUGUAUGCAACAUUUUCACUUGACAUCCAAAUACAAUUAUAAUCCAAUAAUUUGGCAUAACAAGGCUCAUGUAGAUUUAGUUAGAAAUCCUGGACCUCAAAAAAUUUUAUUAUUAAUUGCAAAAUAAGUAGCUCCUUAGCUGUUUGCUCUGUUUUUUGACUCGGCAAUGCCCUGCCUGGCUUUCGAUGGCAGAGCCCUCAGAAGAGUGAAGAGAGCAGGCCGCUGGGAGAAGUUGUGUUCUGUCUCUAAUGGUCCUUUUCAAACUUCACCACUCAGUCCAGAGCCUAUUAACUCUCAGCAAGUGGGUAACUCCUAUCAGUUUACAGGUCUUGGUUUGAAGACCUUUUAAAAAUACAGUAUUUAAUGGAACUUUAGAAGUCUUUGACAACAUUUCUGUAAGUAUCAGGCCUUGGGAAGAGGUAGGAAUCUAUGGUUCAUUAGCCUCUUGGGAGUCCAGAGCUGGAGUUGCCUUAAGCUUAUCUGGGGCAAUUUGUUGCAGCUCUCCCCAUUGAGUUUUCCCCUCAGCAUCUCCUUGCUUUCAAGCUGCUCUCAGGAGACAAAGUUUGCUAUAAACUUUAGAGAAAGAAAAUGCCAUGGGAAGCCAUUUUAUGCUAAGAAUAUAUUUAUUCUCUUCCUUUUUGUCUUGAACUAAAUCUAUGCAUUUUUGGCCAAAAUUAUUUGCUUGUGGUUAAUCCAGGCAUCCUUUCUUAGUGAGCUUCAUUGGUGACAAUGCUGAAAAUGACACUAAGUAACAGAAGAAAGAAGCAACGGGUCAGGUCCCAUCUACUCUAGUCUUCUGGGCCAUGUGAGCCAAGCAGUUUUCUUCUUUGUAGGCUGCGUGUGCAGAAAUGGAUAGUCAAGACAAACCUCCUCAGGUGAUGUAACCGUUUUCUUCUGUGACCCUGAAGUGACUAACUGGCAGAGAGUGAAGAGGAUUGAGGCUAGAGCAUUUACUGGAAUAUAGUGAAAGCAAAGGUCUGAAUAACACAGAUAGAACACCAAAGCUGUCUUUCAGUAAUUUAUUAUAUGAAUAUUUCUUGAGUAGCUAUUAUGUGUCUGGCACUAUGCUAUGUGUUGUGUAUCCAUACGCUAAAGCUAUUGGUUGUCGCUCAGUGAUUUUGCUUAUUAUCUUCUAAAGACAAUCAAGAAAACUGAUUCUUAAGACAAGAUGAUAGUAAUUAUGUCUUAAAUUACUUGAGAAUCUUACAACAGGACCAUCAUUGUGUUAAUACUUAACAUGGUCAAAAUGUAUUCCUUAGUAUAGCCUUUCAAGGUAGAUUUAUAAAAUUUCCAUUUUUUUAUAGAUUAGGAAAAUGAAAUUAAAGUAGGUUAAAUUACUUGUCUUAGUAAUUUACACAACUUGUAAACAGAAUUGCUGUCGAAGUCAGGGCUCUUUCCAGUGUGAUAUGUACAGUAUGAUAGUUAGGAACUUAUAAAAAUACACGACAACAUCUGGCCUUCAUAUCUUAUUUAUCAUUUGUGUUUGAUGACUCCUGACUCUUUAUCCCACCUAGAUUCUAUUGCUACUCUAAAAAACAAUUUCCUUCCUUUCUCUUUCUUUCUCUCUUUCUGUCUGUCUUUCUUUCCUUCCUUCCUUCCUUCCUUCCUUCCUCCUUUCUUUUCUUUUUUCUUUUCCUUUUCCUUCUUUCCUUCUUUCCUUCUUUCUUUCCUUCCUUCCUUUCUUUCCUUCUUUCUUUCUUUCUUUCUUUCUUUCUUUCUUUCUUUCUCUUUCUUUCUUUCUUUCUUUCUUUCUCUUUCUUUCUUUCUUUCUUUCUUUCUUUCUUUCUUUCUGCCUUUUAACCCAUGUACCUUGUCUAGGGCCAAUCCCUCAUGAAUCUCAACCCCUCCAUCAUCCUCAAGGGCUCUCCGUCAAUUAUCUCCCUUUGUUCUUGUAUCUUCAACUCUUCCUCACUCUUUGCUCAUUUCCAUCAGCAUUUCAACACACUCAAGUGUCUUCCUUCUUAAAAUAAAAAUGAAAAAGGCCCUCUCAAUCCAUGUCCCUUGGUAGACCUCGUUUCCUUUAUUCCAUUUACAGUGAAACUUACAAGUGUUGUCUCUGCUCCUUUUCUUCACUUCUGCACUCACCUCUCCUCAUUCUUGCAGCUCUCUGGUCACCCCUUCAGAGAAACUAUUAUGACCAAUGUUACCAACAACACUGUUGUUAAAACUAGUAGUCUCUUCUCAGGCCUCAGCCAUCACAAUCUCUCAGUAAUAUUCACUACAGCUGACCACAUCCUCCUUUUUGAAGCCCUCUCUUCCCUGGGUUUCCAUGAUACCACCCAGUUCUUGUUCUUUUUGGUUGGUCCUUCAUAGUCUACUGUGUAGGCUCCCAUUUUCCAACUGAUUCCUUAAAUGUUGAUACUUCCCUAAGGUUCUUCUCUUGUUGCAGUUUAAACAUUUUCCCUGAGAGAGCUCAUCAUCACCCAAGGCCUUUAUUUGUCAUUUUACUGCCUCUGACUUCCAAAUAUUGAUUAGUCAGCCCAGAUCAACUUUUUAUAGGUGAUGAGGUGAUCACACUUUUAUGGAGUUUCAUAUCUAUAUAUCAACAUUCCUAGGGUCUCCCAGGUACCUCAAACUCAUCAGAUCCUUCUCCCACUUCCUUCCCCUGCUUCUUAUCCCAGGCAUAUUUAUCUACUCAUUGACCAAACAGGAAAUCUGGGUUUCACUUUUAAAUUCUAACUGAGUAAAUCACCAAGAUUUCUACUUCUUAAGUAUCUCCCAAAUUUGUCUAUUUCUCUACAUUUCUACUGCUACUCACUAAAGUCAGACCAUAUGUCAGCAAAUCACCAUGCCUCCAAUUUUGCCCUCUCGAAAUAUGUUUUCCACCUAGGCCAGAGUGAUCUUUCUAGAAGAGAAAACGUGAGUACAUUUUGAUCGCCCUUAAAACUUCCCAAAGAAAUAAUUCUCAAGUUAUUCCUCACUGUUCCUUUAAUGAGCCAAAUGCUAACAGUACUCAGAAGGCAAUUCAGAAUCUAGUCCCAGCUUCUCCAUUCUCACCUUUUGCAAUUCUUCUGCAUCUUCUUACAUUCAUCAUAUGAAAUUUUUCUCUCCCCUCUGGGACUUCCCAUAUGCUAUUCCCUUUGCCUGGAAUGCUCACUUUCCUUCCUUUUCGUUUACCAAAGUCCUGCUCAUCACUUAGGUCUCAUCCUUGGCAUUAUUUCCUCUAAGAAACUUCUGCAAUGUUCUCUUCUGUCUCCUCAGUCUGGGCUCACUGCCCCUCUGACCUAAAACCACUCUCCUAUUCUGGCACCAUCCACACCAAAUCUUCAUUAUUGUUUACUUGUCUGUGUGACACGUUAGUUCAGAAACUCCCUUUUAAAGGCUGGUAAUAUAUUUGAUUUAAGAAAAAAAAAAAAAACUUGCGUAGUCUCUGUACGUAGCACAGAACAUAGCACAAGAUGAUGAAUACAUAGUUUUUAAAAUAAAGGAAUGUUUCCCUAGGUUUCUCUACUGAUAUUGGGAAGUUUCCAGAAAAUAUACAAAAGUAAAAGCAGUAGAAAAGGAAUCUUAACUUUGCUUCAUGGGAACAACUUUUUGUAGGUGAGGGUGGCAUGUCAAAGGGGACUGUAAGUACUGCCUUAUGAAAGAAUAUCUGCCAGAGGGGAGUGGCUGCAGAUCCUGGAGAAGUGGAGCCAGAGAAGGGGAUGUGGUUUCUUCUUUCCACAGCUUCUGGUGAGGCUAAUGGAGAAAUGAACAGAUCAUCGAGUUUUAAAAAUAAUAUCACUUCUGUUAGCCAGGGAUGUGUGUGAUCCUGAAAGGAAGAAUUUAUUACCCCUUUCAUUUAAAGAUUGAAGUAUGGGAACUUUAGUUCUAGGUGGAAAAAUUUGUCAUUUGUAUGCAUGUCAUACCUCAAAAAUCACAGUGGAACUAUGUAUGGUCAAUUCUGAAUUAACAGAUUCUAAUUUGGCCAUUCACACUGUGUGUAUAGCAUUGUCCAGAAGUGAGAAUAUUGAAAAUUUUCAGGGCAGAAGGAAACUUUUAUUUAAAAAAGCAAAACAAAACAAAAAACAGGCAAAUGAAUUUCAAAAUAGAAACUAGUAUUUUAAAUUAAUAAAACAUUUUCCUUACUUGUCAGCUUCAGAAUAAAACCAUGCAUUUAUUCUCAUACUUAAAAGUAUUUUAUGGUAAUAGAUGCUAAACACCACAAUUAGCAGCACAGAUAUACUUGAUGAUACUGUGAUAAAUAAAACUAGUGAUCAGUUUGGUUUUCUACAAGAGCAUCCUAAAAAGAACUGGAGGGGUUUUUAUAAUUUAUUAAACUAAGGAACAGAGGUAUAGCUUUUACUCUUCAAUAGGCUUUCUUGAGCACAGUCUCAAAAGUGCUUGAGAAAAGACACUAGAAGAAAUGUAAAAUUCUCGAUGAAAACUGGUUUAAAACUGAACUUCUGAGAAAAAAAAAAAGGAAACUGAAAAGUUCCAUAAAAUUGGUAGUAAAAGUGCUUCUAAUAGCUAGAAAUGUUUUGUAUUAUUUAAAUGGAAUAUUUAAGUUUAAUGUUUAAUUCUAAACACUAAUGAACUACCCAGUUUAGAAAUUGUAGAUAGCCACAGUUGGGGAUAUUAUGCAAUGCUAGAUACCUGAGCAGAAUUUAUAGGUAUUAUAGGUACAGCACCUUAGUACUGUAUUUGGACAUCACAGGAUCUUAGAGGAUGCUGUUGAUGCUCUGACACCCCUCACAGAAGUAUGUAUAUAGAUAUAUAUAUAUCUGUGAGUUUUGUAUAAACACAAUUCUACUAUGAUCUCUUACAAAUAGCUAAUUUUAAGGAUAAAAUAGAAUUAUAGUACACUAAAAUUCCCAUUUUAAGGGCAAUGCUUCUUGUUCUAGUGCAGAUUGACCUCCUUCCCUUGUGAAAAAUAGAUUUCCAGGCUUUGGUCUUGAUCAGCUCAAUCAGAAUUACCAGCUGAGGGGCCUGGAUCUGUCUUUUAAAAGGUGCUUUAGGUGAUUCUGACGUGCAAAUAGUGUGCAGCCUGGUGUUCCUGACCUCACGUCACCAUUUUUUCUUACCUCUCGCAGGCUUUGGCUAUCUGAUGCUAGGCUUUCCUGCACCCUGGAUCCCCCUUCCUUCCCCUGAUAACUGUCCUACAGUGGCCCACCUUUCUGGUCCCAGGUCUAUCUUAGCUCCUCUCUGUAAAGUGCCAGUCUCCGCUGUGGUCUAUGAGUGUGUGAGCCAUGGUUUGCCCUCUGCUGCUCUUCCCGCAUCCACUCUUGGAUGUUACGGGAAGUCCUCAGGGGACCUCAGCUUGCCAAGCCUUCCUUACCCUUCGUAGUCAGCCUGGAAAACUCACUCUGUUUUAGAAUGUCUUUGUCUCUUUUGAGAACACUCCACUCCAUGUAUGGCCUGUGUGCCUGUAACAAGUGCCAACAUCUGUGAGAGAUUUCUAGAUUUUGUCAAUUCUCAGAUAUUUGGAGACCAAUUUUUUCAAAUCUCCAGGCUUCUUUAAUGACUCUGUUGUAUAACUAACAGAAUUGACAACAAGAACACCCUGUGUGAAAGCAAAUGAAGCAUCCUUGCAAAUACAGGAACAGAUAACACAGCUGAGAAAAGGUGCAGAUUAUACCAAUGUUUAUGAUUGCUUCAAUUUACAGAUGAGAGUAAAGGAGCAUUGGGCCACUGGUGAUAUCUAUAUCAGCUCAGCUAGUCCGUGGGAAAGAUGAAGUCACAAGAAAGGUAACAGCGGCAGGAAAGAAGACAAAUAGAGGAAAACAAUUGGAGGCAAAAUUACUAUUUGUGUCACUGUGGCAACUGAGAUAAAUGAUAUUAAAACAAAGAGUGGGUAUUGACAGCAGAAUAGAAGAGGCAGAAGUUGAGAAAUAUCUCUUUGGUUUCAUGGGGCAGGACAAAUGGCCACCUGUGCUUCUAAAUUGCAGGCCUUACGGACAUAGAACAUGCUCUUUAGACCAGAGUUUCCUGAGGGGAGCUCUGUUGAUGCCUGACUACUUCUGUAGCAGAAUUCACGGGAAAAAGGGGUUCUGUAGUCAAAUAAAUUUGGGAUAGAGUGGAUUAAACCAAAUUAUAUUGGUUUCUUUACUGCUGCUUUCCUCAGAGCCCUUAAAAGGCUAACUUACACUGUGAGAUGCCAGGAGGGGACAAGCAUUAUGUAGUGCUUCUAGACUCAUUUCUCAAUGGAACCUCCCUGCUCUUUGGAGGAACAUUUUGUGGGACUAUUCCAUCAGACUUCAUUCUGGGAAACACUGCAUUAGAUUAUGGCAUCUCCAAAUUUUUAACAUCACCAUACAUACAGAAAAAAAUAAAUUGAGUUUUUGGUAAAAAGAGGACAUUAUAAGCCUUGGGGCUCUAGCCACCCAAGCCACCCAGAAGGCUAAGGUGGAUCACUGCACUAACACACCUGUUACCUAUUCAGGGCACAUAAGAAAGUUUUGCACUAGAUUAUACCCUCUCUUUGGGCAGAGACUGUGUAUUGUUUCCAGGUUUAUAUAUAUAUAUAUAUGUUUGUGUAUAUAUGUAUGUAUGUUUGUGUAUGUGUGUGUGUAUCUAUGUGUGUGUGUGUAUAUAUAUAUAUAGAGAGAGAGAGCUAACGUUUAGGACAGAGACUGACACAAAGUGUUCAAUAUAUAGAAUGAAUAAAUAAAUGAAUAUUAUAGGCAUAGGAGAUAUGUUUGGCAGCUACUUCUACCUCAGUGUGGUGGCUUUGAAAAAAUUAAUGCCCCUGGUUGUUUGCAUCAGAGCCAGCUCAUCACCACUUCAGUGAAAUGUCCAUAAAGGUACAAUCAAUCCCUACCUUAGGUGACAAGGUAAGGUGCAAUAUGGCAGAGAAGUCUACUCAAUAGAAAGUAUACAUUCCAGUACAAAAAGACUAGGUGCAUAGGUAAGAGCCAUAUUUCCUAUGUAUUUCAGUCUCCUUCAGCAAAAGGUAAAAAUAUGCAGAGCAAAAAUGUGUUGCUAAUCAUGAAAGACAAGAAGGAUAUCCAUGAAUGGUGUGAAAGGUCAAGCAUAAGCAAAUGUUGAUGGGUUUGUGUAUGUCUCCUGAAUGAUGUCAUGGCCCAGAAAUGGCAAUGAGAGAAUUUAUUGUGUAGAUCUGAAUUAAUUUAUAAAUCUGGAGUACUGCCAUUUGACAGUACCUGACCAAAUUAGUGUAAGCAAUUCUCAUUGAAAGAGCCAGAAGGCAUACCAUCUCUUCUCAUAGUCAGGAAUAAGAUAAAAUUAUUUAAAGAAACAAAUGUAGCUGAUUGUGCUAUGAGUAUUUCUGAAGGUGGGUUUGACAUGUUAAAUGAGCAUUCUAAAUAAAACUGGCAAUAAAAAAGUCAUGGAAUCACUCUAAGAAAAUCACAGAAUUUUAUAGGUUUUGCUAAAAAAUAACUUCCAAAGCCAGUAUAAGCCCUGAAGAAUUUAACAACUUUUGGUAUUUCUCAAUCAUCUAUUGGUACAUGUCAGUGAAUCAAAUAUCUUUGUGUUUAAGCACAGUAAGACUGUCAUUGAAUGUGAUAAUGCUGCCUAAAAUAAAACUUUUAAGAUGUGAAGAUCCAUGGUAGAUUUCCGUGUUGUCCCUCUAUUUAACCUGUUAAAGAGACACAGUAAUACCAAUGAGCAAGUUUUUUUCAUGCCCAGCAUUACUUUUUUUUUCUAUCAGCAAAAUAUUAUAUCUAGUGAUUGGUAAAAUAAUGGAACCAAUAGUUUAUUGGUUACUGUCUUUGGUAGAUCCAUGUUUACCCCAAAUUCACAUUCACCUGGAACCUCAGAAUGUAAUCUUAUUUGGAAAUAAGUAAUUACUUAAAAUGAGGUCAUACUGGAUGAGGGUGGGUCCCAAAUCCAUGACUGGUGUCCUCAAGAGGAAGGGCAAGGGAAGACGCACAAGCAGAAGGUCAUAUGAAAAUGGCAGCAGACAUUGGAGAUGUGCCACUAAAACCAAAACAUGCAGGAGCCACCAAAAGCUGGAACAGCCCAGGAAAAAUUCUCCUUUUGAAACUUGAGAGAAAGUGUGGCCUUUCUAAUGCCUGAAUUUCAGUCUUUUAGCCUCUAGAAAUGUGAGAUAAUAAAUUUCUGUAGUUUUAAGUCUCCUCAUUCAUGGUAAUUUUGUUAUGGCAGCCCUAGAAAAAGUAGGGUUUGUACAUGGUUGGUAACCAUUUACCAAUCAAACUCAUAUUGAUAGAGUGUAUCUUUUAAUAGUCCAAAUGGAGUCAAUGAAAGUGAGCUGAAAGAUUGGUUUCGGCUAGGAUGUGACCUGGAAAGUCUUCCUUUAUUUAUGUCUAUUUUCCCAGCAUAAAUUAUUAAUCGUGUACUGUUUUACUCUCAAAAGUUUCCUACUUUGAAUGAUGAAUUGUAUGAUCACCUUAGCUUAAGCUUAAGUUGAAGUACCCGUGAUUCAUUGCAUUUGCAUCCCCAAAAUUAUGUUUUUAAGAGCUGAUGUGUAGCUAAGAUUCAUUUUUUUUUCUUCCCAGUUUUGAACAACUGACUUGCUUCUGGCACUUCCUUAAUUUCUAGUCAGUGAUAACUGGAGUGCAAAAAACUACUUUAGAAACAGUUAAGGAUCCAAUGUGAGUCUAAACAGUUUACUUCUACAUGGACAUCAUUUAGGGCUGGAGAUUAGUUAUUAACUAAAUGGUACCUUGUGAUCUUAUAGUGUUAGUUUACCUUUUAACAGGUUUAACACCCUCCAGGUAUAUAAUUACACUCCUUUCUAAGUACAUGGUUAACCACUCAAGAAAUCAAUAGGGGUUAUAAAACAUGUACAAAUUUGAAUUUGGAGAGAGUCAAACUUCUAUCUUGUUCCUAGAAGUAAAAUGGCUAACAUUUAGAAUUGGGCUUAUAGGGAGCCAUUUAUUUUGAAAUAGAAAAAGCACAAAAUAGGUAUGUUCAGAGUUGGGAGCGAAAUAUGACAUUGAUAAAUCAAACAGAGCCCCUCACUUUUGCUUUGAUUGAUGUUGUCAAUAGCAACCCACAACUUUUGUUUCUUGAUGUGUGACUAUAUAGCCCCCUGGAUCCAGAGAAGGUAACAAACAUGUUUUCUCUCAUGAGGUUUCUAAAUUUACUAGAGCUUGAUCCUACUCACACCUAAUUAAUUCAUCAAUAAUAUUCAUUCAUUUAAAAUAUUGAUGGUUUCCUUCUAUGUGUUAAAUACUACAGGUAUAGUAUGUACAGUGGUGAGUUAAAUAGACAGUUUCUCUCUGGAAGAGCAUGCAUAUUAGAGAGUGAGAUAGGCAAUAGAUAAAAACAAAAAUCAACAUCUAAAUUAGAAAUGUCACAGGAAAAAAUAGGGUGCUCAGAUACAGAAUAGUAGCGUGGGAUACUAGAGAGGUGAUAAAAGUCAUAUUGAGGAAAGGAAGGAUGAGAAAGAGCUGGUCAGAGAUAGCCCCGGAAGAGCUUCUGACUGAGUGAACACAGAGAGAAAGACAAAUGCAGGAAAGAGGUGUUCCAGGAAACAGCCUUGUGGCUAGAAUGGAGAAUGUGCCAGCUAUGGUGGAGAGAGGGAUAAAAUGAAGUUGGAGAGGUCAGUAAGAUCCUUACUAUACACCAAGCUAAGAAGUAUUGCGUUAGUGUUUUUUUGUUUUUUUUUUUUUUUAGACCGAGUCUCACUCUGUUGCCCAGGCUGGAGUGCAGUGGUGCAAUCUUGGCUCACUGCAACCUCCGCCUCCCGGAUUCAAGUGAUUCUCCUGCCUCAGCCUCCCGAAUAGCUGGGAUUACAGGCACCCACCAUCAUGCCCAGCUUUUUUUUUUUUUUUUUUUUUUUUUUUGUAUUUUUGUAGAGAUGGAGUUUCACCAUGUUGUCCAUGCUGGUCUUGAACUCCUGACCUCAGGUGAUCUGCCCACCUCGGCCUCCCAAAGGGUUGGGAUUACAGGCAUGAACCACUGUGCCUGACCUAGUUUAAAGAUCAAUGGGAAAGCAUUUGGGUAGUUUCCAGCACAUCUGUCUGUUACUAAAAAUUGAUCAUUAAGGGGACACAGAGGAAGCAGGGAGAGCAAACAGGAGACCAGUACAGUGGUGUGGGAGAAAGACAAUGUCCCAGUCUUCAACUUGGGUAGUAGCAAUGGAAGAAGGGAAAAAAUUACUUUUAUUUCCCUUGUACCUUACAGGUGGAUUGAAUAUGACCUGUUUAUGUAUUGCAAAAUGGUAGGAACUAUUCCAAGAUGAUGCAGUUUUUGGCUAAAACAUCUUGGUAGUGCUAUUUUGUACAAUGGGAAAAAUUAGAAGAAACAUUUAAGCUCCAAUGUAUAAACAUGACAGAUAUCCCUUAUUAGGAUUUUUGAGAUUACAUUGAAAAUUCUAUGUUUAUAUUUGGGUAUGUCUACAGUAGAAUUGAUGUUAACUGGAAAGAAUCCGUAGUUCAGUGGAAAAUUAUUAAGGGGUGAACUAGCUACUAAAUAAUAGUAAGAUAAUGUAUGAUUAAGAAAUGAAAACUUACAGCUACGUGAUAUCUAAAGUAGGAGGAAGGACAUUUGUAAUUGUCUACGAAGAAUUUGGGGAUGUAAAUUUAAAGGCAAGAUAAGUAAAUCAUGAAGUGAAAGGAAAAAAUUAGACUAUGCAGAAACAUCAGUGAGAAAUGCUUUUAAGCAAAACUUUGCUUUCUUUUUGAAAAAUUUAUCACAAGAAAAUAAGAGUUCUUUUAAGAUAAAAAGUUCAUAGAUUUGGUCUCUUCAAUGUCCAUUAUAUAACGUAGGUUUUCUACUUGCCAAAAGAUUAUUAAAUAAUAUUAUUAUUUUAUAAUCAUAUAGUGACUUAAAAUUUUGUUUUUGUAGCUCUUAUUUUGUUUGAGACUGCAACACUCCUAACAGGUAUGUAAGUUUAAGAACAUGAAUACAUAUUUAUAUAUAUGUGUGUGUAUAUACACAUACACGCACAUGCAUAUAUACACAUAUGCAUAUAUAUACCUAUACAUGCAUACAUAUAUAUUUAUGUGUUUGUGUAUAGAUACGGUUUUUUCUUUGAUAAAGUAGGAGCUUGAGGUCAGAAAUAUUCAGUGAAUCUCUAAUGUCAUGAGAGGGCUAAAGGCAGAGAACUCCAGAAGCCAUGUGUGUCUCCUAAAAAUCUACUUUAAAAUAGAUUUAGGUUUAGAGAAAAGUUAACAAAGAUAGUGACAUGGUUUGGCAGUGUCCCCACUCAAAUCUCAUUUUGAACUGUAGUUCCCAUAAUCCCCACAUGUCACAGGAGGGAUCCGGUGGGAGGUAAUUGAAUCAUGGGGGCAGUUACCUCUAUGCUGUUCUCAUGAUAGUUAGUGAGUUUUCAAAAGAUCUGAUGGUUUUAUAAGGUGUUUUUCCCCACCUUCACUCUGCACUUCUCCUUGCUGUCACCAUGUGAAGAAGGAUGUGUCUACUUUCCCUUCCACCAUGAUUGUAAGUUUCCUGAGGCCUCCCCAGCGCUCAGAUCUGUGAGUCAAUUAAACCCCUUUCCUUUAUAAAUUAUCCAAUCUUGGAUAUGUCUUAUUAGCAGAAUGAGAAUGGACUAAUACCCAGAAAGUACGGAGAAUUAUUACAUACUCAUGCCCAAUUUUUCUGUGUGUUCUCAUUUUUAAUCUGGUGUUUUCUUCACAAUUUUUCAGUGGUAAAUAAUUGUCUUAGAGUUUUACAUGUAGAGUUAGAAGAAAAAUGAAAGAGUCAGUCAUCUGGAUAAUUCCAGAUCAGAAAACAAUUUUGUGUGAAAGCUAUAGAUAAUUGAGACAGAAUUUUUUUUGUGUGUGUGUGUGGCCUGGAGAGAUUCCUAUGAUUGCCUUCUUCUUUCAGUUGAGUCUGUAGGUACAGUCAUAACUAUAGGUGUUUCGCAUACUACUGUAAUAGGAUACUGUAUAUCAUUCAAUAUGAAGAAUGUGGUUUUUUUUUGGAGGACUAAAUUGCUUGGUUCUAUAUAUCUUUUUCUUAAAAAUAAAGUAUAUUGGCUUUUUUGCUAUAAAAGCAAUUCACAUUGAUUUGAGAAUAGUAGAAAAUAUAGAUAGGAAAAGAACAAAAGUACUGAAAGUUCACAACCUAAAGAAGGCCAAAAUCAAAAUUUUAUUUAUUUACAUCUGGUCUUUUUACUAUGUAUAUAUUUUGGAUCUGUUUGCUUAGUUUAUGCAAAUGGCAUUCUUUUUUAUGUUUCUUUAUUUUUUUUAAUUGUAAGCUUAAUUUCCAGCCAUGUCUAUAAAAGCUGCUCUAAAAUAUCAGGGAAGUUAAUGUUCAGUGUGGGUCAUUGUAAGUAGACCAUUUAGUCUAUCUGGAGAAGAAUUGUAGUUUUUGGAAGUCCACUUAUUAUGUUAGUUGGCCAGUGGUUAAUGGUGCAGAGAAAAUUUAAGAUACCAUCAAUUGGAAAGAAUAUGGUAGAGACUUUCAAAGAGGAAUGUAGUAGCUCAUAUAUCAAGAGCCUCAAGCACAAAGACUCAGGUUACAAAGAGAUUAAUUAAUUAUAACAUCAUCCAAAAUGGUAAAAAAUGGGAAAUUACCUAAAUUUUCCACAACAGUGUAAUGGUUAAAUAAUGUUACAACAAAAUGAUAAAAUGUUAUUUAAAUAGAAAAAAAUCAUGAAGAAUUUUGAUGACAUAGAAAAUGAGAAGGAUGCUAAUUAAAAAAAUAUAUAGGAAAUAUAAAAAACUAGAAGGAAAUUCACCAAAAUUUGACAGUGAUUAUUUCUAGGUAGUAGAGAUAACUCUAAUAAUUGAAAAAUGAAGGUCAUCAGGUGAUUUUUUUCUUUUUCUUCUUUUUUUUUUUUUUUUGCCUAAAAAGGGAUGGUCAAGUUUUUGAAUUUAAGAUUUUAUUCUCACUUCGUCUGUUUAGAUUUGUUAUAUCAGAGCCUUUCUUUACUUAUUAACAAUCUCUUGUAGUAAACAUGUGUAAUCUGAUUUCCCUCAACUUUCUCCAAACUCAAAUAUCUACAAAUCACCUUCAUGUCUUCAUACUAUUUUGGAAAAUAGUUUCUCCAGUUCUCAAAUGUUACUGAGUGUAUUUCCAUGUCCCAGGAGCUUGGCAAUUUUUUUCUAUCAUAAUUGGCAAUACCAGGAAUGGGCUAAUUGCCUUUGGAGGUCAGAACUUCUUUAGUAGUUUUAUUUUUUUAUUGGUCUUGGGUCACUAGAAGGAACUGUUACUGUGUCCUGGCUGUGGCUAGCAGUGACAAGACUGUCUUUUGAGGGCGCUGCCAGGCUUAAUUGCAUCCAAUAUAGGGAUCUUCAUCUGAGAUUUGGAACAAUGAAUCUUCCAUGCCAAUUAAAGAUGAGUUUAAUAUAGAGAAUAUGAAGUAUGCCUAGCAGAGGAACAGUUUUACAGAGCCUCAGGAUCCCAUCUGCCUUUCUACAACACAGAAUUGGACCCAUACAAGCCCUUUAUCAUCUCUUCAAGCUAGGACAUUCCAAAGAAACCAGGAGCAAAAUAUGAGCAUGGAGAGCUUUAGGCAUAUUCAUUUCUCUCUUAUUCUCUAAAUAUUUCUCAGUGUUUUCUAAAGGAUUCUGAACAUAAGGUAUGUUUGCUGUUUGUCUCACAACACAUAAUUGAUAUGUUAUCUAAGUCAAAUAGUUUGGUAAUUGACAGUGAAUUUUUGCAAUACUGAAAAUAAUCUCACUUCUUAUACAAAUAAAGAGUAAUUGUGUCAAAUUGAGUUUAAAAGCCAGUGCCUCUGCCUAUUAGUUAUGGGGCCCAAAUCAAGUCAAAUACUCCUCUGUAGAUAUUUCCUUAUCUGUGAAAUGGGGAUAAUCAUAGUAUUUGCCUUACAGGUUUAUUAUGAGGAAUACAUGAGAGGAUCCAUAUAAAACCCUCAGCAAAAGAGCUGGCAAAUAAUCAGCACUUAAUAAAUGUUUUAGUUGUUAUUAGUCAUUAGAAUCACAUCUUCACACUCUUAUUUUCAAACGAAUAAAAAGGAACCAUUGAGAAGGAAGAAAUGGACAUAGACAUACAUUUUCUCUGUGCUUUUCAGGUCACUUUGGCUUUGUUUUUAUGGGAUAUCCAUCUGUGGAGAAAUGCCCUGGCUUACAAUUACAAGGGUCAUUCCGCAGAAAGAAAAGUGCAGACUGUGGAACAGAGGGCUUAGUCAUUUAUUAUUGUUAAUGGUCUUUUGGCAAUUUCCUUCAUUCCUCAAGGCUUUUGUUUCCUUAUCUAGAAAGAAAGAGUCUGAAAAGCAAACAGGCAAAUACAAUGCAAUGUGAUGACUGGGAAGAGAUAGGAGGCCCAUGUUGGACACAACAGGACUUAGGCCCAGACUCCGGGUGGAAGGUGGGGAGUGAAGACCUCCAUUUAAAACGGGUGAAAUAACAGAUACCUAUACACACUUAUGAAGUAAUAAGAUCACAGGCUUGGGAGUUUGAAUGUCUUGGUUCAAAUCCUAUUUUCGUUUGUUUUCCUUUUUUCCUAUCUGUGACCACGGGCAACUUAUUAACCUUUAUGCCUGUCUGGCACACAGUAAGUACUCAAUAAACUAUAGCUAUUUUAAACUAAUGUGUGUCAUGAGUAAAAGAGUUUUAAAUGUGAAGUCUUUGUUUAGCCAAGUUCCUGGCACAUAGUAAGUGCUCAAUAAAUGAAAGUGGCUGUUAUAUUAUUUUCAUUCUCAGAGGAAGGCUAUCUGAAGCCGAUACAUGAAAUAUGAACAUGAAUUAGCCAAAGACAAAAGCAGAAGAGUAUUCCAUGCUGGACCAAUAGACACAAAAAACUUAGACGGGAGAGAGAGCAUGGCUUGUGGGGGAACUAGUUGUGCCUGGAGCAGGCUAGAGGGCAUGGAUUGAGGAGUGUGGUCCAUGCCAUAGGAGCUAUUGUACAGUCCCGCUGCAAAGGCGGCACCCACUAACCAUCACCUGCUAUGCUCUCACCUAUGGGCAGUCCCACUGCCAGGCUUGUUUUAGCCUCUGAGCGUGUGUCAUUGCUGGCAUUUUGUGGAAGACAGUCAAUUGUAUUCAGUAAUGAAUUUUUUUUAAAGGCUUGCAUAGUUGAAGGAGCUCUAGACAGAAGCCAGGGAGAAGAUUACAGGGUCAGUAAAGAUACACUUCAUUUUGACAAUUUACAAAGGAAACAAAAGCCAUGGUGUGUCUGUUGCUAAUAAAAUAAUCUCUCCUUCCAUGAAAUCUUAGAAAUGGAUUUUUUGUCUUGACAAAAUAAAUAUAUAUUAGGUUUAGGUCAUUUCUCAAACUAAAGGCAAUAUUAAAAUUGUAAUUUGAAUUACUUAUUAAUAACAACAAAUCUUAUGACUUGAAGUGUAUCUCAUCUCUUAGAAACAGAGUUGCUGACUCAAUGUGAUCUAUUCUGAUGGAAACAAGUUUGUUAUAAUAAGAUAAUAUCCAUAUUCCUCUUUUCAAAAAUAACUAUGUUUUUAUGUUUGAUGGAAUGAUGAGAUUCUGUAAUACACUGGAAAAAAUGCAUGGUAUUCAUUCAUUGUGGCAGUAUAUCAUAAUUACUCAGCUUUUAUCAUUAAUAACAGAAGAUUGUGAAUAAAAACAUACUAAUAUCCACCAGAUGUUCAGAAAAACAUAAAUAUCCCCACAUGUCAGCACUUUUAGCAGAAACUCAACAAAAUUUUCUCUACUUCUUUUUUCCUUUUUUAGUUUCCUGAACAUGUUCUUUUGAUACGAUAUUUUUAAUCCUCAUUAGGGAUUUGUUUGGGUUCCUUUAAUAUCUGCCACAAGAGACUGUAUAGUUUCGGAUGUAGCCAGUAUGCAUCUUGCUACCUUUUCCCUGUUACUCAAUUUAUCGAGAGGCAGGCCGGUAUAAUGGAAAGCGAUCGGCCAGCUUUGUGGUCAAAGGGAUCUCAGUUUAUACAUACUCUCAGCUUCUUAAAUAGGUGGGUGGCCUUGGAAAAAUUGCUUAAUCUUUCUGAGCCUAAAUUUCUUUAUCUUUGUAAUGGUGAUAAUAAUUCUUUCAUUGAAAAGUCAUUUCAAAGAGAAGCACUAAUAAAAUUGCCAAGCAUUCAGCCCUAUUAAAAAAAAAAAAGCAAUUAUAUUGAUCUAUCUGAAGACCACCCUGAUUUCUUGCUUUCCUUUGACUAUUGAAUUUUCCUUUUUCUUCCCCAUUGAUACCUUAAGCUUACUAAAAUGUCUUUUUCUCUAAAAUACAAGUAUUGCCCUUCAGUUAUCAUUCUAGAAGCUUAUUUUCUCAGCCUGAGCUCCCUUAUAAAUAUGCUAUAUAAGGGCCAGGGCAGGCUUUGGUAUGCUUUUUAGCACCUAAAAUGAAAUUGUGGUGCAGGCACCCCUGGUAGAUUGCAGUCAGCUCUUCCUGGUAGGGAAACAUAACUCCCACAUGGACUGCAUGAAAUGGUCAGUAAAAAUUACAUAAAAUAAUUUAUUAAGAUUUUUUUCUUCUUAUGGUGAAUUCCGUAGCCUCAACUUGGAAAGCAGCAAAUGGCCUAUUGUAAAAAUAAUACCAGGGCACCUCGUCUCCAGGAAUGGGCUGCCUAUUCAAGUGAGGCCAAUUAACUCCUCCAGGAGCUGGGAGAACCAUACAAUGUAGGAAAAAUAUAGUUUAAUUGAAUGGUACUCUGGUCUUCUGGAGGAAAAAUUCAUUUAAUACAAGGAGUUAUUUAUCCCUAUAUGGUAGUUUACAUAUUAGGAUUUACCGGAGAAAUGUUCCCAAAGUGACCGUCUUGUAUAUGGGCAAUGAAACAAAUAUGAAAUAGGAAAGAGGUAAAAAUUAAAUCUUUUCUUCUUUUGGCUUAACCUUUAGGACCCCACCUGAAAAACAAUUCUGGCAUAGAGGCUAAGUGUAGGAGACCUCACGAAGCCUUUGGUUUUCAUGUCACUGUUUAGAAAGGAAGCAAAUACUUGAUAGGAAGUUCUCAGUUUUUUGAUCUGUGAAUCCCUUUUCUUCCAGCUGAUUCAUUUCUAUUGCCAUUCAAACACUGUGGGAUUUGAUUUCAUUUAGGUUUGGAUUUUGGCCAGGUGGUCUUUGACCUGGAGUGCCACAACUGUAUUAAGAGGUAGUAAAGAUGUGCUUUUCUAUAUCUUGAGUCACUGCUAUUCUAUUAGUUUACUUUACUUUGAUAGAGAAAUUGGCUAACGCUAUACAAAACUCUCCCCUUCCCUGGAAUUCAGAGAGCAGCUUAUUUAUAUGUAGAUGUAGCUAUAUGACAUUUUCAAAUGCCAUACAUUUGCAUAUGAAGGUCUCUUUUUUCCCCUCUCAGUAAACAGGCUGUGCUAUUACUUCCAAAGCAAUGUUUGGAAUUAUAUUUUCUAUACAAGUUCUUCCUUAAAAUGUUUUUUAAAUGCCCAGUAGAGAUAAAAAAAAAAAAUUAAACCCUCUAACUAGGAUCCAUUUUGUCAGGAGUGAAAAUUUUUAAUUUAUGAUUAAUAUAUAUCUAUAUAUAUCUCUAUCUAUCUAUCGAUCUAUCUAUCUAUCUAUAUGUUUUAGCACCUGUAUGUGGCUUUGCAUUAUAAGUUGGUUAAAUAAUAUUAGUAUGGUUAGAAUUUCUUGAGAAGAAAGCAAAGAGAUAUUAAUUUGGUAUGGAGCUUCCUUUAAAAUUUUAUGUAGUUUGGUUUCUAGAGAGGUAGCUCUCAGUCUUAUUCGUUUACUCAACAAAUAAUUACUGAGAGUCUACUAUUUGUCAGGCAUUCUUUUAGGCACUGCAUUUACAGGGAGGAGCAAGACAAAUUCCCUGCCCUCAUGGAGUUUCUAUUAUGAGAAAAGAUGACAUAAAAUAAAAAGGUAAAAGCAUAAAUACAUAAAUAAAUCUGCUCACAUUAAACACAGUGAAGGAAAUAAUACACUAUUGGCAGAGAGAAUGCAUGGAGUGACAUGGACAGGAAAGAGAGUGGCCCAGCAGCCCUACCCUGGAAGGUGUGAAGGGCAGGCCAGGAGACGAUGAGGAAGCACAUCUUUGUGAGCACAGAAAACAACCAGGGCAUAUUGUGUUAGGCCCCAGUGUACAGAAAAAUAAGUGUUGCAACAGGAACAACAUUUUAAAAUACAACUCUCACAGUGAAAUCAUUAUUCAUCUGGCAUUAAAGAAAAACAUGAAGCAAGAAGAAAGGAAGAAAACAAAGGAGAAAGAAGCUAAUGAGUGUUUUCACAAUUUCCAUCUGCUUCCAGGGCUUCUUGUUAUUUGCCCCAUGGUUACCCAGGUAUUUAUUUGGUCAUCUUUGCUUUUUCCUCCACUUGAAUUCACUGCCACCCCCAGCGUCUGCCUCUACUUGAGGGUUACCACAUAAUCAUUUCCAUGCCCUCUUCUCUCCAGACCUCCAGUCAUCUAUGUUGAUGAAGACAUCAACAUAGAAAUGAACAUAUUCAUUAUUUGGCCCCGAGUCCUACUCUUCCUGAUACUUUUUUCCCUAUCUAUCUUAGGGAAUGGAACUGUCAUUCAUCUAGGCAGCCAGAUGAACCAGGAACCUUCGUAUUUUUCCUGACUUUCCACUUCUCUUUGCCUGGUCAGUUAGCAAAUCUGGUAACCUUUUAUCUCCUAAAUCCAACUAAAAUCUAUGUAUUUCUCUCUGUUGCUACCAUCAUCCACAACACUCAUUCUUCAUUGUUAUGACCGUAGUCUUCUAAUUAAUCUUGCCUAAUGCCCUCCCUCUCUAGCCUGUUCUUCACUCUGCUGCCAGGUUUUUUUUUUUUAUUUAAUAAAAAAUACGACAUGAUUUAAAAUACCUUAGUGACUCCCCUAUUGAGCAGAAGAUAAAUUUUAACUUCUAUUGCAAAUGAGGAAAGAGACUUAAUUGAAGCAACAAACUACUACUCUCACUUAGCUCCAGUUGCUCCACUUUUUCAUUCCAUGCUUUAGCCAUGAAACUAUUUGUCAUUCCCUGGGCAUUCCCACUCACUGAAGCCUCUUUGCCUUUUAAAUGUUGUUCCCUAUGUCUAUAACAUUUUUUCUCUUCUCUGCCAGGCACACUCAAUGCAAACACUACCAUUUUCUGAAACACUCUUGACUUCCCUUGUUGCCAGUUAUAGUUACACACAUCAGCUGGAAUCCCUGUUCUAUUGCAUCAACAUUUCUGAGCUAUGCUUUCCUCAUUAUACCUGAUCCCCAGGCAGGUUGUGAAGAGAUGAGAUAGCGUGUUGUAUAUAUAAUGCAUGACACAAAGUAAAUGCAAAAUUAAAUGUGUUUCUAUUAUUUCUACUUUAGCAUUCUUAAUGCUUUAUUUUCUAUUUGCCAUAAAAGUUAUUUGAAUAAUUAUAAUUUGGCAUAUGUGUAUUUGUUUGAGUAACAUGGGUUUCUGAAUAUAAAGUUAGAGAAGCUUGGGUGCAGUUUGCCCCUGAAUUUCCUUAUUUCCAAAAAGUCAUAACAAAUAUUACCAGCAUCGGUAAUACAUUUAUCAAUCCUCAUAAGGAAAUUACUAAUUAAAAUUCUGAUCCCAACUAGCUAAUUAAAUCAUAAGCUCCCUAAGCCCCUUCAUCUUCCACAUGAAUAGAUUUCGUAGGUCUUAGGUUGCUUUGUUAUAUCUGCCGCUUUGAAGUCCUGGAUACCAGCAAGCCUAAGAACCAGGACACGUGACUUUAUGAAUGUCACAGUUAAACUCAAGUCACUUGAUACUGUCUGAAAAUCACUGGUACUUUUCUAGGCUUACAAUUUAUCAUUUUGAUGGUUUGGGCCAGCAACGUUGACUACAGCAACAACAAUUCUGAAGAGACACUCUGAAUUUGCUACCCAUUUUCAGGAUUCUACCAUAUCCAUAUUUAUGCAAAUUCUGGGAAAAGUCAUUAUUUACCAAGGACUGAGCACUUCAGUCCAUGGCUUUAUGUGUCAUUAUUGUACAAAUUAAUAGAAAGGUAGGCUAUUAUAUGAAACAGACAUUAGAGAUUAUCUAUCUAAGAUCUGUAAUUUACAGAUAAGAAAACAAAGACUCACGGAGGUUAUGGUCAAAUGUAAUACCUAAUACAGGUCUUCCUCCUGAGGAUUAGUGUAUAGCAACAACUAGAACCAAGGGUGCAUUAAAUCUCAGUUCUGAGAUUUUCCCAUCUACAUGGAAAUGCCUCACUUCUAAGAUAUUAUAACCUGUUUCACAGGUGUUAGCACAAGACAAUGAAAACAGGCAAAAAAAAAAAAAAAGUCAAAGAGCAUGGAGAAAGUUACACUAGUUUCAAAAUUACAUUAGAUGUAAAAUACAAAUGUUAAAAAGUGACUUGACACCAGUGAACAAUUUGACUGACUAGCUAGUUUUAGAAGUUAUGAGUUUUAUACUAAGAAUAAUAGAUGAGACAUACCAAGAUAUUGCUUGAGUUUCUCAUGCUACAUCAUAUUUUUCUAUCAAAAUUUCCAUUUCAUUUUAAAUUUUGAAUGUAAUAUAAUAUUACUAGGCAUUUGAGUAUGUACAGUUUUAUCAGAACAGCUCUUCUUUGACUCCUUAAUUUUAAAAGUUUUGUUUAUUUGUAAGGUGUGUUUUAACCUCUUAGAACAAUUUCCCAAGAUAGAAAUAUGGUGGAUUUUAUAAUAAAAGUCAUUAGAAACAAUAAUUCAUUUACCAGAAAUAAGAUUGAGGUGGAGCUUGCAGUAGAAAUGGGAGUCCGAAAUGUCUGCAUAUUCUAUGAAGCAUGAGGGGACACCGAGUGUAGCAAUUUAUUGGUGGGAACUCUGGCCUCCAGUAGGAUUCUACUGUCUCCUAUUUGACAGUUUCAAAAACAUCCUACACUCUAAUGCUUUAAAAACACAAUGCAAAAGAGGAAUGACCAAUAAUAGACAAUGGUAGAUCAGGAUAAUAUUACAAAUUGGAUGAACUGACAGGCAGGUGGUGAAUAAUUUUAACAUGACCCUAAAAAUAGUGGAAGGAUGUUUGCACAUUGACACUUCUCUAAAGGCAGAUGGAUAUGCAUGACCUGAGUUUUUAGACAGGUGUCAGGAAUAUUGAUGGGUAGUACAAGGAUGAUCAUUUUCUUGGCACUGUUGCAGUAGACAGUUUCCAUGAUUAAUGAUGCAUCUUAGCCUUUUUUUUUUUUUCUCCUGGGGCAAAAAGGGAUAUGAACCUUUGUUACUCCAAGGAAUGUAAGAAUUUUGCCUGAAGGCUAAGGCAGGAGAACUUUAGUCACCUAAAAGCACCAUAUGCUUUCUACAGGUGAAGAAAUAGUGGUAAAAUAUGCAAGUGCUCUUGAUAUAUAAGAUGACAGUGCCUGGUAGAAUGAUUAUAACAUGCCUCUUAUUAAGAGGGGUCUACCCCAGGGCAUAGGAGCCUUGCACAGCUCUGAAGUACAGAGCCCAGUAAACCUGGGCUCUGACAAAAGUGACAGCAAACUGUGGCUCUGGGAUACAUCUGAACACAUACAAUGUUUGAAUGAAUAUUAAGAACCACUCAAAGGAAACAGAACAGGACUAAAGCAGGAAAUAAGAGGUGAGAUCAUCUGCCUAAUGUUUAUAUUCAUUUCAAGUUUUUAGAGACAAUUUUCUGAUUCAAAUCAAUUCAAUAUCGUUUCUAAAUGGUGAAUCCAGUGAGAAAGAACUUUUCUUUUCCAAGAAUAAUAUUGUUUGUUCAGCUUUUUAAAAUGUCACAUACAGCAAUGAAUGAACUAUGCUAUUUCAAGGCUCAAAAUGUAAUCCAAAGUCGAAUAAUAGUUUGUAUGUAUUCUGCUAAACCCUAGUAGUCCAUCUGCUGAAAAUAUUAUGUUAAUUAAAGGUAAUAUAAGCUAUGGAGGUAAACUUCGUAAGUUCUUUUUUUCUUUUAUUUUUCUUUUUAAAGUAAUAAAGGGCACUGUUGGAAAUCAAGUCCAGUGAAAAAAUUUUGUUAAUUAAAAAAAUGAAUUUCCUUUUUAUACAAGGGAUAUUAGCUAUUGGAUUAGGUGAUCAAGAAAACUUAGAAAAUCUGUUUUUCCAAAGUUAAUCUAAGUUUCUCCAAAUAAAUUUAAAAACAGGAUAAAGUCUCAUAUAUAUGAUGGGAGGGGUUAGAAUUUAAUCUUCCUGAACCCCAGUAACUACAUUGGUGACUUCCUUACUUUCUGUUUAUCCAGAGAGAGAACAAGAGCUACAACGUAAAAUCCUUCCUUUGAUGAUACUAGAAAAGUUUAUGUUUCUAUUCAUUGAGAAAAAAAUCUCAAUGAAAUCCCUGAAAUGAGGGAAUGAAAUGUAGGAACGAUGGGGUAACAUGCUCUUAACAUUUUAAACUCAUAAAUUUAAUGGGCAUUACUAUUACAUUCAAAUUAUAUAAUAGAUUUCUUUUCUAAGGCUAAAUAAUAUCAUCUUAGACUAACAUAGUAUACUUUGUGCACACAUUCUGAAACAUUCUAAACAUGUUGAGCCCAAUAAACUCGUCCAUUAGUUAGAAACCCAUUAGGGGAGGGGAAAAAAACUCAUUGUAAUAAUAUGAACAGUUGCUCCAAAGAGCCCUUAUCCUUUUGGGAAAUGGAGUUUGAAUGAGAUUUAAGCCAAUCAGUGGGGAACAGAACUACGUGGAGCAUAAAUUUGAAGCUUUAUAUAUAUAUUAACAUAUAUCAAAAAAGAGUCCAUCAUCCUUAUCAUCUAAUUUUUAAAAAUAUUACCCAGUUAAUAUACUGAUACACAAAAAUGGGAAAAUAAAAAUGUAGAAUUUAAAAAUCUUCAGUCUGAAUUUUGUUAAGAUUAGAUCAAAUUAUGCUAUCCAAAUGAAACAAUUACUUCUAUCUAGAAAAUAUGAAUUUGAUGACAAUAUGAAAAACACUUAGAAUGAGGCAUAUCCAUAUCCUAAAUCUUUGUCAAUAAUAAUCUCUUACAAUUCCAUAGUGAGUUAUAUCUCACAAAGGGCUUUAAUAUCUGAAACAUAGGAAAAAGGAAAAAAAAGAGAUGUAGAUACAAUAUUUUACAGAUUCUCAGAGAAGUUAUAUAACAUUUAUAAAUUUAGGAGCUAGGUAUAGAAUUUAGUUUUUUUGAUAAUUUGUCCCAAGUAUUUUUCACAAAACCAAAACAUUUCAGUAGGAACUAACAAAUCACAUAUGGAAUAACAUUCACAAAAUAGGUUAUAAAUAAUUGUAUAUUAUUUCACCAGUCUGUAUCAGAGGGAUUUACCUCAGUUUUUCUUUUAAUGACUUUUAGCAUAAAACUAGUGAAGAUAAAAAACAAAACAACUGUUCCAUCUUUCAGAGAUAGUCUGUUUUCACAAGACAUUGUAAGUUUUCUGAAACAUUAACACAAAUUUAUCAGACAACUUAUUAACCAACUCCUCCUUCUUAGAUAUUUUUCCCAGUAAAAGAGCAAUGGUGCACAUACUGUAUGAAUAGGUAGUAGUGUAAUCUAAGACAGAAAAUAACAUUGCUGUGAAAGUUAUUCAUUUGUUUCAAUACUACAGUAAUUAUUGUGGCAAAGUCUUGCUCGUUUAUCAUUUCCUGUUGUCUUUGCUAUUUUUUCAAGCUGUCUUUUUAAACAAAUAUCCUCACUGUCCUUGUUGCAAGACCAAUAACUUUAUUUCAGUAGGUAAGACAGCACACCAAUACAAUCAGGUCUAUUCCUGUUCCAAGGAGGGUCUGUUACUUGGAGCCACCUAACAGUAUUGCACAUUCCUGUCCUUCCCAGAAGAAUGUGACACAGUGUAUCUGGGUACUAAGUUGCCAUUUAAGAACCUCUUCAGGUUCCCCGUCUCCUUGAGCUAUGAAAGUUUUCAUGAACACUUCAGUUUUAAUGGCAUGCCAAACAUUUUGUUCCAUGAGCAACACAACAGUUUUAAAAAUUGCCAUUGAGUGUUUUAAUAGAAUUUAGCCAGUUGUUUUUAAAUAUAUUUCUAUGAGCCAAGGCUUACAAAAAUGUAUAAAGAGGAAGUGCCCAGAUAUAAAGAAGCUUUGAAAUGGUUGCUGUUGCCUCCUUAAAAAUCAUCAUUAAACAAUCUUUCAAACAGUCAGUGUUUGGCUCAGUAAUUUAAUCAAAAUUUGUAAGAAGUAGCUAGAAUGAACAAAAGGAUGACAUGGCUUUGAACAGAAGAAAAGCAGGGACCCAAGUUAUGCAAAUACUAGUUAGGAAUACUGAAUAAGAUAAGCGAUCCAAUUAUGUCUGUGAGACUUUCCUCAAUAACCUAUAACUAAAAGAAAAACAACUUCUUUAGCCAGAUGAAUUUUCAUCAUUCUAAUGAGCCUUUGUAGAGACAGAUAUUGCCUCUUAUUUGUGAAACCUCACAUUUCUAUUUUGGGACAACUAUCUUUUUUUUUUUUUUUAAGUGGGGCCGAGUGUGGUAGCUCACGCCUGUAAUCCCAGCACUUUGGGAGGCCAACGUGGGCAGAUCACAAGGUCAGGAGUUUGAGACCAGCCUGACCAACAUGGUAAAACCAUGUAUCUACUAAAAAUACAAAAAUUAGCCAGGCAUGGUGGCGCAUGCCUGUAAUCCCAGCUACUCAGGAGGCUGAGGCAGGAGAAUCACUAGAACCAGGGAAGCAGAGGUUGCCGUGAGCUGACAUGGUGUCACUGCACUCCAGGCUGGGCGACAGAGUGAGACUCCGUCUCAGAAAAAAAAAAAAAAAAAAAAGUGUGUUUGAAGCAGCAAGAUGAAAUGACUGAGCUGGUGAUCUUCAUUCUGGGAUUUUGUCUCCUUUUGGGGAACGGGAGAAUUCAAGAAUGAUUAGGCAGGCCAACUCUGGACUCCACAAUACCUCCUAACUUCUAGACCUCAUCUAAUAUGUACUUUCCCCUAAUCCCUAGCACCAAAAAGCAGGAUUUUAAACACAACACGAUUGACAUUCUGGCUGGAUAAUGUUGUCCUGUGCAUUGUAGGAUGUAUAGCCGUAUAUCUGGCCUCCACCCACUAGAUGCCAGCAGUACUUACCCCUGCCCCUUCCCCAGACAAUCAAAAAUGUCUCCAGAUAAUGCCAAUGUCCCCUGAAUGGGAGGUGGGAGGGAAAUGAGGAGGAGGAAGGUUGGUAGAGGCAAAAUUGAGAACUGCUGCCAUAAGGUGAUGGUCAACAAUUUUCCCUCAAUCAUGAUUUCUGAACUAAAGCUAUAUACUUUGUUAUAGACAUCGAAAGUUGGAAAGACAACAUCAUAAUCUUACUUUCUUUUUACUUUUUUUUUUUUGAGACAGAGUCUCACUCUGUUAUCCAGGCUGGAGUGCAGUGGCAUGAUCUUGGCUCACUGCAACCUUGGACUCUGGGGCUCAAGCUAUCCUAUCACUUUAGCCUCCUGAAUAGCUGGGACUACAGGCGCAUGCCACCACACCCAGCUAAUUUUCGUGCUUUUUGUAGAGACAGGAUUUCACCAUGUUGCCCAGGCUGGUUAAUCUUACUUUCAAAUGUUACUGAUGAGAAAACAGGUUCUGAGAAGCUAAGUAACUAAAUUUAGAUGAAUUAGAACAGAGAUGAGACUAAGUCAAAAGUUCUGCAUCCUACUCCAAGCUCUUCUGCAAAAUGCUAUUUGUAAGUCAUUGGCUCUAAAAUCCAAGUGAAAUUAAAAAUAUGAUUAUCCAUGUCAUUGGAGAAUAGCCUUGUAGAGAAUCCAAAACAACAGAUAACACACAUAUAAUUUCUAGGUGAUUUUGGAAUGAACUAAAAUGAGCCUAUUCCAGUGGUAUUAUUUUCCUGAUGAUUAUAAUCAUGAUGAUAAUCAUGAGUAUAAUGAAGAUGAUAAUGGUUUUCUUAGGAUAACAUUACAAUUAGCUAUGUUUCCUGAGUACGUAUCAAUUCAUGGCUAAGAUGAACAGCUCGGAAGUAUGUUAAGCUGCAGAAAACAACCAGCUUCAAUAUUAGAAUAUAGCACUGACAAUCUACUUAGACACAUAAGCAUUAAUAGUUGCCUAUCACUGUUGAUGGAAUGUUAGGCUUACUCUUAAUUUUUCUACAUAUAGAAGACAAUGUGGACACUUUAUUAAAACCAUCUUACAGAUAAGUUUCCCUGGUCUGCCUGUUGGUUGUUUCUCAUGCUUCUAUAGCUAUAUUUCAUUAAAAAUCAAAAAUCAAUAACAAAGGCCUAUGUGCCAGCUGUAGGGAAUGAGUGAGUGGCUAGGGGUGUGAGGAUAGCUCAGAGAUUAUUUCAAACAACAGGAAACCUUCAACUUCCCUGGUGCUCUUUAAAUAAUAGAAAAGUAAAUAGGAAAAAAUCCAGUGGUGCAAGAUUUGUAGAAUAAUUUUGACAUUACACGAACAGCCAAUCUGCAGAAGUGAAUUUGGAUGUGUACUGCCUGACAAAGCACUGAUCGCUUGUUCGUUUAAAGUCUAUAGACUAAUAACAUGGUCUUUCUGGAAUACUGACUUUCUAGAGGACAAAUGGAGCUUGAUUUUAGUCUCCAUUUUAUGAAUACUUAAAAACUAUUUUUUUUUUUAGCUAAACAGACAUUUAUUUUCAUUAGUAAAUGAAAUUUUUAAAGACAUACUUUUGGGAGGGAGUUUUCUAAUCUAUGACACACACAGCUUUCAACCUCAGAAGAUGUGAAAGAAAGAUUAAGGCAGAGGUUUUUUUUUUUUGUUUUUUUGAAAAUCAUGUGAAAUAUAUUUUACAGGAACAUUACGUAACGCUAUCAAACAUUGAUAAUGCAUCAAUAACUCUGCAGAAAUGCAGGAUAAUUAGUACAUUCACUCUGUGUUUUAUUAAGUUAAACAUUAACAACGUCACCAUAAAAAGCAUUUGCUAGCAUAAAUGCUGAUCUACCAUAGGAAAAAAUAUUCACUUUUCUUUGUUAUUGGCCAAACCACUUUAAACUAUAUGUUAAAAAAUGCCUUUCAAAGUUAACUUUGUGAAAAAACAUUUGCAGGUUUCCCAUUGCAGAAGGACAUAGCAAUCCAAUAAGGACUGAGAUAUAUACUAAAAUGGUCAUUUCUUGGGGGCUACUGAGCUACAGAUCCCAGAGGAGCUCAGGCUUAAAGUCAUGAAAUGGCUUCCGUGAAACCAGGCCUCAAUUUUAUCCUGAUUAAAUUUACUAUAUCUGAGAACACAGGUGGACUGAGUGGGAGGCCACCCAGAAAUGGAAACUCAGACCAAGGAUGGUCAGGUCAAGAAUGUUAGAGCAAGUUAUGACAGUUGGGGAGGAGGUCCUAGCCAAGGACACUUAUUUAUCCUAAUUUGAGGGCAGUGGAAUCCCUAUUGUGUUGACAUUUGCAUCAGGCUGUUUUAGCUCGAUGCCUUGAUGCCCUAAACAUCUAAAGAAUAUAUGCUCUAGUUAGGCUUACCAAGUAACCUCAGUAUAACUGGGCUUCUCAGGCAAUUCAACUCUAGGAAGAGAAAACACUGGUCAGAGGAUGUAAAUUGUCUGUGAACAUUAACAUUUCUGAGUGAAAAUUUAGAUAUCUGAGUCCACAAGUCUGAGAGCCAUACCUGCCCUGAUCAUGAAUUUAGUCACUAUCCAAAGUAUAAUUCUGGCAUAUCCUGUCCAGUUAUCCAUCUUGCACCAAAUCAUCAGACCCACAAUGUGCUGCCCUUGUUGGUUCUUGGCCCUUGAUUAAGCCCAUUUCUCUGCCCCCCAACUUCCAAAAACUUCCCAAAGCUCACCCAAAACUAUGCUCCAGAACUGGCAAAUUCCCUUCUAGCCUCAGAUGCUUCAAUGAAAUUCUCACCUUUCUUCUUGCAUACUGAAACACUAGAUUUUUCUGAGAAUACCAAACCCCUUCCACCCUCUCACAAAGUGGCUGUAUAUUCUACCCUCCUCCCCUGCACUUCAGGACUCAGAGGUGGAGUACUGUCCUCCUUAAUCCUCAUUACUAUUCCUAGAUUACUAGGCCACCACUUCCCUCAAGCCUUAGCACUGAUUACUACAUUCUUGUUAUGCCUGGAGUUUGGUCCACAAGUUUGGUUCCUUUUGAUUACAUCCAAGUUCAAAAGUAAAAGUGUGUUUUCUGAAUGAACAACUGGAGGAAACAAACUACAACCAUGAAACAAAUAGCUGUUUAGAAAUGUAAUUUCUUUGAGACAUUUUGUUGUAUAGAUAUUUUAAGACUUUUUUAGUUGAUAAUGUUUAUAUAUAGUUUCAAAUCAUUAAGAUGUGAGAACUGCAUUUUUAAAGCUCUUGAUAAUGUUGGCUUAUAUAUUUGGGGCAUGUCAGACUCUUUAACAAAAGCAGCAAAUCAAAGUGCUCAGAAUAGUGUGUGUGUGUGUGUGUGUUGUUUUUGUUCGAAAUGGCUUAAAUUCUAUUUACUAGGUUUAUGGAAAACAUUGUGCCUUGAAAUUAUACAGAGCAUUGGGAUAUAUCCUACUCUUCUUUAAGCUUCAUACAUUCUACCUGCACUUACAUUACUCUUCCUAGGAAUUGAAAUAACAUAUACUUGAGGUAAAAAGAUAAAUUAAGGUGGAGAAUUAUGGCAUUCCACUAGCAAUUGUCUAGAUGUUUGAACUCACAUAGCUUUUUUCUCUUCGUCUUCCAUGCUAAAUAGACCUGUCUUUUCUUUACUAUGAGUUCAUUAAAAACAUUUGUUUUGAUCUCUUUGCGGGGUGUGUGUGUGUGUGUGUGUGUGUGUGAAUUAUUGACAUGUGAACAUUAACAUUUCUGAGUGAAAAAUAAUGUUUUAUGUAAACAGAAAUACAUUUCCAUAUACUACAUUCCUUUUUUUAAAUAAUGAAUAUUUAGGUCCUCUAAACAUAUGGACUAGAGUAUAAGUGAUUGACUUUGAAGGUUACAUUGAGGAAAGCAUAUGAUAUCAUCAUUCUGCAGUUGUGUCAUAAGCUAUGUCUUCCUACUGAAUUUCUAUUUGAAUUUCAUGUUGUAAUAAUCUCAUGAUCAUAUUAUAUUUUAUGUGAUCUAAAUAUACCAUACAUAAAUUAUGUUGACUAGAGGAAAACCAGAAAAUUUGCUUUGUGAAUAUUUAGACGUGUUAAUGUGCUGAAAACUUAUAAAUAAGUAUUCAAUAAAUAUUUCUUUAUAGAUGAAUUAAAAAGUCAGCCAAGGUCUCUUGCAACAAGCUGUUAGAUGACUUGGGUAGGAAAAAUAAUCCAGAAACUUCUUGUAAUUGUACGAGUCCAUAAAGGAUAAUAUAUGUAUAACAACUCUGAACACAUAUCAUACAGAUAGACUAUAUUCCAUAAAAUGUGCUCUAUUUCCCAUAAAAAUCAAUUCUCUUCAAUUUUCAGACCAAAAGGAAAGUAACAAUAGCUAGCUUGCUAAUUUGCUUGUUAAUGCCUUACAUGAUGUCUUUUAAUUUAAACUUCAAUCCUUUGGAAGUAGACUUAUUAUCUCCAUUAAACAGAUCAAGAAACUGAGGCUUCAACUAAUCAAGAAACCGAGCCUUCAACUAAUUUAACAAGGUUAAAUUACCACGAUAGCAUGGCCAAUGUUUAAACUCAGUUCCCUCUAAUCUUGUGGUUACAACCGCUAAACCAGCUGCUGCACACUUAUGGCAGAGAAGAGUAGAUAAGUAACACUGCAAGGUGAACGAUUUGUAUCAGAAAGGAGCAUUUCAAAUAGGAAAAAGUGCACAUAAAUGAUGCAGGAUGCGUUUAUGAACUGGUGCAUAAAUACAAAGUUUUCCAGAGUGUCUACCAGGGCCCAAGGCAACUCUUCAGUGGAAAAUCUUCAUCUGUAUUGGAAAUACCAUUUCUAUGUUUAUCUAUAACCAUGAACAUAACAUAAUAUUACAGAUGACUGGCUACAUGAUUUUAUGGGGAAAACAAUGAAAGCACAGAAGUUCAAGAGAGCAGGAAAAAUUGUGAGUUAGAGUUCAUAGAAAGCUUUAUGAAUUUUGCAGCACUCUAAUGUAAAUCCCAGAGGGGAAAAUACUUGCAAUGAGACACUUUCCCUCAGAAAUCUUGAAAAAAUCUUGACAUCUUAAUUCAUUUCCUAGGCUUAAAUAUUCUAGGCUAGUCUGGUGGCACUGUAAUAGCCUGGGCAAACAUUUUUAUUUAUUUCACUGUUGAUACCAAUAUUUGUGCUACAAGCUGCUGCCUGCAUUUGCUGCUAUUUAUUUAUUUCCUACAGAUCAAAUUAUUGGCCCAGACAAAACGUGGUUUCUGGUGAAGUGCUCCUUGUGUUCACGAGCAAAUGGAAAAAGCUUCCAUUUUAAAUGUAGGUUUUUGCCACAUGACUGAAUUAAUUCAUUUUAUAAAUAUGAUAUGAAAUCAUUUGAUAUCCAUGCCUAAAUAUGUACAGUUGAGGCAUAAUCAAGGCAAAUAUUAGGUAAAUCAAGCAAGCACCCUAUUUACACAGGUAGGCAGUCAAAAUGUCAAAAUACUGUGUCCGGUUCCGGCUCAGCCACUUAGCUUCUUUGAGACUCAAUUUUAUUUCCUCUAGUAUUUGUACCCUUAGUGCUUUAUUGGGUUGACAUAGAAGAAAUGAAGCAAUGUGAGUGAAUCUUAGUAAAGCUAUGACAUAUCACAAUAUGGCUAAAAAUUUUUACUUUCUGUUUAUUUUUAUUUUUUUAUUAAUGCAGGAUUACUCAGUAGCAAACACUUUCCUCUUGCUUUCUCUUCUCUAUGUGGAAAAAUAGGAAACAGAAGAAGGAAAAAUUUAAAAGCAAACAUUAUAUCACUUAUAGGAUGCUUAGAAUAUAUAGAUUUGAGUAACUCUUUUGAGCAUCUCACAAAACGUAACAUCAUGAUGAAAUAUUUUUGGGUCUGGAACUGCCAAAUGGUUAACGCUUAGGGUGCAGAGUCAGUCCCAAAGCUGGGACUUGUUAGAUAGUGACACUUCUUCCCUGGUCCUCACACUUGCUGGAUUCUGGAAUUAGCAAUGAUGGUUUUAACCUUAGUUCUAUCACAUUCUCUUUUUAUUUAAUCUCCCUGAACCUCAUAUCUCACCUGUCAAAAGCAUAUAGUAUCUCUUUCACAUGUUUGUUGUGAAGACUGAAGGAGACAGUAUAUAUGAAAAGGCUUUGUAAAUUGCAAUGGCUUCUACAGAGAACAAGUUAUUAGGACAACUCACUUAAACUAUCUAGAUACCCUUUCCAGAUGUCAGCUUCCUUUAAUGUGGAAAAACGGGAUGUUACUAAUAGGAUGGACAGAAUGUCGUUUAACUAUUUCUGAUUUCUUUCUUCCACAUUUCAGACCUGAGAUUAAUGUAUAAAUUAUUGUUUGAAGAUGAGGAAUGGAAAUUUUCCUAAAAAUAAAUAUUACAAGAAAUAAUGAAUUGCCACAGUAUAAUGUUCAACAAGUAAACACAGGAACUCGACGCAGGCCUGUAGCUAGACUCAGAGAUAGGGAGGCCCUGUCUCCCCUCCGAGGACAUGAAAUCCAGGACUUACAUUUUUCACGAACAGCCAGGGGAAAUAUCUUCUCCCCACAUACAUACUAUAAUCCAGCAUAGUCUUUAUCUUAACUUUACUCCUGUUCCUGUUCAACCUAUGUAUCCAUGAGGAAAAUAAGCUCAACAUGCUCCUCCUCAUAGCUAUUUCCUCUGUAUUUUUUCCAAUUUGGAAAAUUGGAAAUACCCAUAAAUGAAAGUCAUUACUUUAGUCUGUCAUAGAAACACUGUCCUUGAGUUAUACAUAUUUUAAUUCUAUGCUCUAGGAUGUUGUCAAAAAUUGAUUUUAAAAAUUCCCAGCCAUACGGAGAGCCUCUUGGCGUAUUUUGUAAAAAUCAUUGUUGAAGAUUUUAUUCAUUUUAUGUUUUUCACUGAUGCCUUGUAGAAAGAUCUAUGCUAAAUAGUUCCUUUAUAAUUUAGCAUAGAGAAACUUUGUCUUUUGUCUCUGAACUUAUUUUUUAUUUUUUAUCAGACAAUAAAAAUCUAAGUUUCAUUUAGCAGAUACCUAUGUUGACUUGUUCACCUUUGUAAAACCCCAGGACAGGGGCUUGCAUAUUGCGGUGACUGCAAAUAUUUGUUGAAUGAAUUGAUUCAACCAUAAUUUCUUCUUUUGUAUUGGUUGCAAAGAAACUUAGGGCUAAAUACAGUAACUGUAAUAGUCUGUGUUGCUGGUAUAUGUAUUUUCUUUAACAAUUCUGAUUUUAUGUUUUCAAUUUCUAUUUAAACAAUUUCAAUUUAAAAAAUAUGGAAGAAAAAUACAAAUGUAUUUUAAUUAUAAAACACUCCAAACUCUGAAAACUGGUGU